UGUCAGAUGAGAAAAAAGAAGAAACCCGCAUAAUGCUCUUGCUUGUAUCACUACUCUUUAAUAAGCUUGACAUAACGGCCUCGCCUCUAUUCGAAUAGAGGGUGUACAUAUAACAUAUUAAACACGUCUGUAACAUAUUGUCAGCGAAUGUGUUAAUUUAAACAAUCAUAAUAUGAAAACGUUUAAUGUAGAGGAAACAUUCAAACAAAGACACAUAGGCUUCUAUACUAGGAUUUGUGUUUUUGUUUUUUAUAUCAGAAAUAAAAAAGAACAUUUAUAGCUCAAUAAAUCAUGUUAAAGAUGAAUUAAAUAUAGAAUAGAAUUUUCAGUGCAAAAAUCUCCUGGUUAGCUGGGUACCAGGGUGAGGUGCACUGUAAUAAGGUUGGUUUAGUGAGCGCCUCAGUGCAGACUUUUGAGUGAGCAAAUACAGUAUGAGAAAACGGUGGGUCAACAGAGGAAAUUCUGUGGUGAUACAGUUUUGAAAUAAAGUACAAUAUGAAAACAGAACCGUUUUGAAUUCAUCCUUACAAUAUAUCACUUUUUUUUAUUGCAUCUCACAUUUGUUUAUUUAAUUCACUGACAUAUAUGCAUUCGUGCUCAAGCCUACUGUGCUGUAUGUUAAAUGUGUCUCUGUGAAAUCCUUGAACAGUAAUCAUUUAAAAAGCUGAGAAGAAUAUGAUUCAUGUCUUCCGAAGUCCUCAAGUCUGCUACCAUCCUUCUCUUCUGCGGCUGUCAGAGUAAAUCCAGAGCAAACUGCCCUUUCGUUUGAGUAAAUGCCCUUGCUGUUUGCACAGAAAGAGUCUACUACUGAUGUAUAUCUACAGCUACUGGAUAACAUGACUACACCAGAUAAAAGUAUAGUAGGACUCAGAUCAACACAAUCCAUCAGGUCGCAAAGGGUGCAGACAUUCACCCCCACACAACAACAACCAUCAGUUACACACACACACACACACACACACACAGACAGACAGACAGAGGGCGAGAGAGGGUGAGAGAGAGAGAGGGCGAGAGAGGGCGAGAGAGAGAGAGAGAGAGAGGGCGAGAAGAGAGAGGGCGAGAGAGGGCGAGAGAGGGCGAGAGAGGGCAAGAGAGAGAAAGAGAGAGAGAGAGAGAGAGAGGGCGAGAGAGAGAGAGGGCGAGAGAGAGAGAGGGCGAGAGAGAGAGGGCGAGAGAGAGAGAGGGCGAGAGAGAGGGCGAGAGAGAGAGAGAGGGCGAGAGAGGCGAGAGAGAGAGCGAGAGAGAAAGAGCGUCUAUCAAACCAAAAUUGUUUCUCUGAAAACUCCCAGAACAUUUGUUAGGUUGAGGCAAAUUUUAUCAUAACAGGGCGAGAGAGAGAGCGAGAGGGCAGAGAGAGAGAGGGCGAGAGAGAGAGAGGGCGAGAGAGAGAGCGAGAGAGAAGAGGGCGAGAGAGAAAGAGCGUCUAACAAACCAAAAUUGUUUCUCUGAAAACUCCCAGAACAUUUGUUAGGUUGCGGCAAAUGUUAUCAUAACAGGGCGAGAGAGAGGGCGAGAGAGAGAGAGAGAGGGCGAGAGAGGGCGAGAGAGAGAGCGAGAGAGCGAGAGGGAGAGGAGAGAGAGGGCGAGAGAGAGAGGGCGAGAGAGAGAGCGAGAGGGCGAGAGAGGGCGCGAGAGAGAGCGAGAGAGAGAGGGAGAGGGCGAGAGAGGGCGAGAGAGAGAGCGAGAGAGAGAGGGCGAGAGAGAAAGAGCGUCUAACAAACCAAAAUUGUUUCUCUGAAAACUCCCAGAACAUUUGUUAGGUGCGGCAAAUGUUAUCAUAACAGGGCGAGAGAGAGAGCGAGAGGGCGAGAGAGAGAGGGCGAGAGAGAGAGCGAGAGAGAGAGAGAGAGGGCGAGAGAGAGAGGGCGAGAGAGAGAGAGGGCGAGAGAGAGAGCGAGAGAGAGAGAGCGAGAGAGAAAGAGCGUCUAACAAACCAAAAUUGUUUCUCUGAAAACUCCCAGAACAUUUGUUAGGUUGCGGUAAAUGUUAUCAUAACACAAAAACUGUCCCGUCGUGCUGAUGAUUAUACAAUGUUUGUAUAAACAUUUGCCUGAUGUUGCAAGAACGUUCCCAGAACAUUGCGUAUACAUUUUGUUGCAACAGUAUGUUCAAAAAACAUUGCUGGUACAUUGUGUUAUUACAUUACCAGGAAACAUAACGAGAAUGUUGUUUGGGGAAUGGUGGUUGUUACAGAUGUUGUGCGUUUUUGUGAAUGUUAGGAGAACGUCCUAAUUUUGUAUAAAAACCCUUUCUUAUGUUCUGGGUAUGUUCCCGGUUUGCUGGGCAGUCUGUCCUGUCUCUUCACUGGGGUCAGCCAGUCAAGUCAGGUGAACCAUGAGAGUCCAUACAGCACAGUCCAUACAGCACAGUCCAUACAGCACAGUCCAUACACUACACACUGUAGCAAUAGAAUAGUGUUGACAUUCAAAAGAGUGUCACUGAUCCUUAUCAAAUCUUUCAGAUUUUGUAGAAUCUAAGAAGAAGCCUGCUCCCUCUUCUCUCCUCUGACUUUCAUUUCCCUCGGCUUUGACUGCGAUGGAAAUAUCCCUUGCUGCUGUGUCGGCUCCACGGACAGCAUAACUCACAAGAACUGCCAAAAUAAUGCCUAUAGGAAUUCCAGUACAUGCGCCAAGUGUUCCAUGUUCUGCACCUGCAACUGCUCCCAUGAGUGCCCCCACUACAGCAGUCAUAAUCACUAUUAGUGGUUUGACGUAGUGGCCCACCACAGACAAGGCCUCUUCCCUGUAUCCUUGCUUGACGGCCUGUAGGUCCACCUUCUGAUGGUCAGCCAUUACCGACCCGUCCUCUUCUCUGUGCUUACUUCAAAGAAUAAACACACACACAGAGACAGUUCAUGAAUCAGAUCACCGUUACAGAUGUAGGAUCUUAAAUUUGAGCCAGUUUGCUAAAGCAGGAAAAUAAACCUGCAGCAAUAGGGAAUGUGAAUUAUUACGUGGAUUAUUUUUUAAGGACAGUUCUGUAGUGGUUGAUACAUUUUUCCUUUGGGUAAAUCUAGUCUGAAAUGUCAAAGUGGAAAUUACUAACUUUAGAAGCAAUUUUAAAU
Molecule: long non-coding RNA, 3064 nt
Organism: Oncorhynchus tshawytscha (Chinook salmon)
Lineage: Eukaryota; Metazoa; Chordata; Actinopteri; Salmoniformes; Salmonidae
Source: Ensembl